Molecule: small nucleolar RNA, 108 nt
Filed under: Tetrapisispora phaffii CBS 4417
Lineage: Eukaryota; Fungi; Ascomycota; Saccharomycetes; Saccharomycetales; Saccharomycetaceae
Source: RNAcentral
UGAAGAUGACGAGUCACAGCACUGGGCACUGAUUUUAUUAAAAUAAUAAAUUUUGCAUAUGAGUGACAACGCUUUAAGUAGGCCUAGAAAACCUACGUUACUGAUUCA